AUGGUGGGGAUCUGUGACUCGGGGUCCCUUAUGACACUUCUUUCCCUGUCUGGAGAUGCUGGCAUCCCGGAGGGCAUGCAGCUGUCUCUCCUUGGAGAACAGGAAACAGCGAGGAGCUCACCAUGCGUCUGUUCAACUCCAGUGUUAUGUGUGAAAGAAAUGAUAUACAAAGAAGCUUCAACAUAUGUUUGGAAAAAUGGAAUUAAAAGAGGGAAGAGAGCAAAACCCCAAUGGUCUUCCCAUUCAGACUGGGACAGCACCGUCAUUACCGACAGCAAGAAGAGGCUCUGUUUCAUGUGGGAAAGGAGGAACAACUGAAAGAAAGACUUCUAUGCCUCUACUGGAAUAAGCACAGAACAUUCCAGUAGCCUUAAAUUACUUUUCAACAUCACAACACAGUCACACAGUCACAUAGCUCAAGGGAAUUACUCUGGAGUACAUAGAAAUGGUGGACAAAAACUGUCAUUGAGAAGUCUUUUUUAAAAGGUUUUUUCAAUAGUGCAAUUGUAUAAGUUUGUGCCAAUCUAUCAUCAAGUUGGAUUUCACUUCAAAAUAGCACUGAAAGUCUAGUUACUCUCUGAGUCUGAUUCUAUUCAAGUGGGACCUUGUGUGACUAUGUGUGUGAUGGGAAAGCUUUGAUUGAAGACUUAGUGCCGGCAUUGACACUUUCUAUCCCCAAGCUAUAACCAAGAUCCAAAGUUUUGAUCAGGAGCUUUGUCACUUUCAUGCUCAAGGUGGAUGUAGAAAGAGAUGCUAGAAUUCAAAGACUUCACUCACUUUGUUCCCUGAAGGAGUUGAUAACUAUUUCCAGCCUCAAAAGAACCCUGAGUGAGGUUGAGUACAGAGCAGAGUUUACAUUUUCUUUGGAGACUUGAACAUUAUGAAAGAAAUUCUCAUGAUCUUUUCCAUGCUUUGGUUGUGUGUGUGUGUGUGUUGCAAAUUUAUUUGCCAAGAACCCUAACGGUAGAUUACAGUCCACUAGUUGAUCUAAAAUAUAAAUACUCUGCACUCUGACAGUUAAUUGGGAUUUUACAAAAAGGGACUGCAUCAUAUUUCUUCUUUGUUGAAGUCGGGAGAAUUAAGAUAGAGGCAGUUACAAAUGGCUGAAUUUGUCAUGACUCGUCCAUAUUCCAAAGGCUGUGGUUGAUGGCAUUUAACUAAAAACUAAUUUUCCCAUUCAAGGCAAGUAGCUACUAAUUACUGAAUUUUUCUAUGACCACAAAAUGUUACUACAUGCUUUAUAUAUGCAAAUUCACUGGUUUUCACAACAACAACAUAAAUUAGAUAUUAUUUUCCCCUUUUACAGAUCAAGAAAUUCAGUUUUAAGAGGAUAAAUACCUUGCUUGCAUUUAUAAGCUAGAAGAAGGGCCUACUUAAAAAUGCUAACUUUAAUGCUAUGUUAGUUAUUUUGUUAACAAUACUUUCAAAAAGUGGAAGUUUUGUAACAUCCAGAGAUAAAAGGUGGAAUACCACAGCUAAAAAUGUCAUCCAGCUUACAGAGAAAAAACCAUCCAGCAGAUUUUCAGUUAACCAAUGUUACUAUCAAGGUGAUUGGGUAUAUGGCUAGAUUUAUUUUUGUUAAAUAAAUUAACCCAUUUAUUAUAGAUAACUGAUGUC
This is a long non-coding RNA of Oryctolagus cuniculus (rabbit), 1617 nucleotides long. NCBI's taxonomy places the organism in Eukaryota, Metazoa, Chordata, Mammalia, Lagomorpha, Leporidae. The record is from Ensembl.